RNAcentral lists this long non-coding RNA (305 nucleotides) under Vulpes vulpes (red fox). RNAcentral describes it as "lncRNA (ENSVVUG00000012319.1)". The record is from RNAcentral. Lineage: Eukaryota; Metazoa; Chordata; Mammalia; Carnivora; Canidae.
UCUCUACUUUUGUAUAGUUCAGGAAAGGAAGAAUGAUACAAUUAUGAGAGUAGCUUAUGUAGUAGUUUGCAGAAAAGCACACAAAAGAGUAAGUGCUAUAUGAUACAAGGGAGCUUUGUCCUCAUUUACACUGAAGCCUAGGCUCUGCUUUGAUGCUUUCAUGUUUGUUGGAGAAAAUCCACACACCUGCUUUUGCACGUACAAGUCAAUGGAGAAUCAGAGCAGAGUUCCAUGUGGGUCACAGUUUGGGUAUCUAUGACGGAAGAUUUUCUUGAAAAUAUUGAAGGCAGUUUACUUUCAUCGGA